RNAcentral lists this transfer RNA (74 nucleotides) under Johnson-sea-linkia profunda. Its description in RNAcentral is "tRNA-Arg". It matches the Rfam family "tRNA". Rfam says of the family: Transfer RNA (tRNA) molecules are approximately 80 nucleotides in length. Their secondary structure includes four short double-helical elements and three loops (D, anti-codon, and T loops). The record is from RNAcentral. Lineage: Eukaryota; Viridiplantae; Chlorophyta; Ulvophyceae; Bryopsidales; Halimedaceae.
UGGGCUCAUCGUCUAAUGGAUAAGACAUUAACCUUCUAAGUUACUAAUGGAGGUUCGAUUCCUUCUGGGCUCAU